ACCUUUCCCACAACCCUUGGAAAAUCUAAAUUUAUCUCCUAAUAUUUUUUCUCCCAUUUCAUAGUGUAUGUCUUUGAAUUUUACUCAUUCCUUAGGGCUCAGUUCUUCUGCUGCUAGAUGUUGCUUCCUCUGAAUUCCUACACCAGGUUAAGGUUAGAACUGGAAGGGACCUCAGAAGUCAUCAAAUUCAACUCUUAUUUUGAAGAUGAACAGACUCUCCAAAUAUAUGUGUGUAUGCGUGCAUGGAUGAGGAACUAAGGCAAAUGGAGUUAAAUGACUUGCCCAGGAUCACCCAACUACUGGAAAAUGAAUUGGAGAAGAAAAUUGCAAAACACUGCAGUAUCUUUGCCAAGAAAUCCCAAUU
Molecule: long non-coding RNA, 364 nt
Filed under: Sarcophilus harrisii (Tasmanian devil)
Lineage: Eukaryota; Metazoa; Chordata; Mammalia; Dasyuromorphia; Dasyuridae
Description: lncRNA (ENSSHAG00000025690.1)
Source: RNAcentral